UCACUAAAGAUGGACGACAUGGACAGCAAUCAGAGCAUGGUCAGCGGUUUGCCUUCUGGACUGAUGAGGCCAGAAACUUGCUCCAAGGAACUCUUCAGCCAGUGUACAGAGUGCUAUCUCAGAGGAGAUCCACAUUCAGGCUGUCGAUGACCACACUGCAGAGGUAAAGAGACUGCUGGACUUCAUUGUAAAGUUACAGGGAUCUGAGGAGCAUUUAGUGGGUGUACUCAGUGGGAAGCCCUCUAAGGUCUCAUAAGCUAACCUCUUCCCGAGUGCCUGUCUAUCUCGACAGUGAGGAACAACUGUCCUGUUUGCCUAUCUGAGAGGAGUGCUGCAUAGGACACCAACACAACUGAGCUUCACAGAUGAAGUGCAGAGGCCAUCAUAUAUGCCCUGGCUGUCCUACGGAAUUUCUCAUUGCAGGAGGCUGAGCAGGUCUUCCUUUCUGGUCCGGAUUAUCAUUACAGGAGUUGAAGCCUACAGCCUUUCUGUCCAUGCAGCAACUGAUGGAAAAGGGGGUCUUUUUUUAUGAUGUUGUAUUAUGUGUUAUUGCAAAAAUGAGUAUAUACAGUAUAUAAAUAUGCAUUCUUGAAUCAUU
This is a long non-coding RNA of Sinocyclocheilus rhinocerous, 598 nucleotides long. RefSeq lists it as uncharacterized. The record is from RefSeq and is a predicted model, not a curated record. Lineage: Eukaryota; Metazoa; Chordata; Actinopteri; Cypriniformes; Cyprinidae. The transcript has 5 exons.